Molecule: ribosomal RNA, 301 nt
Filed under: uncultured bacterium
Lineage: Bacteria
Description: partial 16S ribosomal RNA
Rfam family: Bacterial small subunit ribosomal RNA
Source: RNAcentral
CAGCAGCCGCGGUAAAACGAAGGGGGCUAGCGUUGUUCGGAUUUACUGGGCGUAAAGCGCACGUAGGCGGAUCGAUCAGUCAGGGGUGAAAUCCCAGAGCUCAACUCUGGAACUGCCUUUGAUACUGUCGAUCUGGAGUAUGGAAGGGGUGAGUGGAAUUCCGAGUGUAGAGGUGAAAUUCGUAGAUAUUCGGAGGAACACCAGUGGCGAAGGCGGCUCACUGGUCCAUUACUGACGCUGAGGUGCGAAGGCGUGGGGAGCAAACAGGAUUAGAUACCCCGGUAGUCCCUGUCUCUUAUAC